RNAcentral lists this ribosomal RNA (472 nucleotides) under uncultured bacterium. Its description in RNAcentral is "bacterial SSU rRNA". It matches the Rfam family "Bacterial small subunit ribosomal RNA", at positions 355 to 825 of the family's 1533-position model. The record is from RNAcentral.
UGGGGAAUUUUGGACAAUGGGCGCAAGCCUGAUCCAGCCAUGCCGCGUGAGUGAAGAAGGCCUUCGGGUUGUAAAGCUCUUUCGGCGGGGACGAAACGGUUCGUGACAACACCACGGACUAAUGACGGUACCCGCAUAAGAAGCACCGGCUAACUACGUGCCAGCAGCCGCGGUAAUACGUAGGGUGCAGGCGUUAAUCGGAAUUACUGGGCGUAAAGCGUGCGCAGGCGGUUUGUUAAGACAGGUGUGAAAUCCCCGGGCUUAACCUGGGAAUUGCGCUUGUAACUGGCAGGCUAGAGUGUGUCAGAGGGGGGUAGAAUUCCACGUGUAGCAGUGAAAUGCGUAGAUAUGUGGAGGAAUACCGAUGGCGAAGGCAGCCCCCUGGGAUAACACUGACGCUCAUGCACGAAAGCGUGGGGAGCAAACAGGAUUAGAUACCCCCGUAGUCCCUGAGCGGGCUGGCAAGGCGCAU